This 153-nucleotide ribosomal RNA is filed under the name uncultured bacterium. RNAcentral describes it as "partial 16S ribosomal RNA". It matches the Rfam family "Bacterial small subunit ribosomal RNA", at positions 1347 to 1500 of the family's 1533-position model. The record is from RNAcentral.
GAUCAGCAUGCCGCGGUGAAUACGUUCCCGGGCCUUGUACACACCGCCCGUCACACCAUGGGAGCCGGUAAUACCCGAAGUCAGUAGUCCAACCUCGUGAGGACGCUGCCGAAGGUAGGAUUGGCGACUGGGGUGAAGUCGUAACAAGGUACC